UGGGUUUGACAUGCACCAGACGCUGGUAGAGAUAUCAGUUCCCUUGUGGUUGGUGUGCAGGUGGUGCAUGGCUGUCGUCAGCUCGUGUCGUGAGAUGUUGGGUUAAGUCCCGCAACGAGCGCAACCCUUGUUCCAUGUUGCCAGCACGUAGUGGUGGGGACUCAUGGGAGACUGCCGGGGUCAACUCGGAGGAAGGUGGGGAUGACGUCAAGUCAUCAUGCCCCUUA
This 227-nucleotide ribosomal RNA is filed under the name uncultured bacterium. Its description in RNAcentral is "partial 16S ribosomal RNA". It matches the Rfam family "Bacterial small subunit ribosomal RNA", at positions 976 to 1204 of the family's 1533-position model. The record is from RNAcentral.